UGCGGCGUAAUUGUGUCGGCAAAUGAAAA
This 29-nucleotide small RNA is filed under the name Bombyx mori (domestic silkworm). Its description in RNAcentral is "ovarian small RNA-33981". Lineage: Eukaryota; Metazoa; Arthropoda; Insecta; Lepidoptera; Bombycidae. The record is from RNAcentral.